Gavialis gangeticus (Gharial) is the source of this 164-nucleotide long non-coding RNA. RefSeq lists it as uncharacterized. The record is from RefSeq and is a predicted model, not a curated record. Lineage: Eukaryota; Metazoa; Chordata; Crocodylia; Gavialidae. The transcript is spliced from 3 exons.
CUCUGUGGCUGCAGAGAGGAGAUUGAAUUUUAUUGGUAAAUGUUAAGAGUCAUGAACCAAAAAAUGACAAAGCCAUAAGGGAAAUAUAGAGUGCCCAAGCGAGGGACUAACAUAGAAGGGAUGGGGGUGAGGAGAGGAGCACAACUAGGUUACAGAAAAUACAG